AGAGAGAGAGAGAGAGAGAGAGAGAGAGCUUGGAUGAAGAAGAUGGGUGGCUUAGGGUGGUUUGAACUAGAAUUGGGGGAGAGAGAUUUCUCUCUCUCCUCUAUGUUUCUCUCUCUACAAAAUGAGAAAUGAGAGCUGGAAUUUCUGGAUAACCCAUUUAUAUGGGAGGACAAUUUGGUCAUUUCAAGAUGCAGGAAAAAUUCUAUUUUUGUUCGAUUGUUGUGCAUGCCGUGUGCAUAUUCGAAAUAUCAUAUUUAUGUCACAAGAUUAAGAAAUUGUUCCAUUUUAAGGUAUUUCCCUAUAUUUUAAUGAAUAAUUAACUUUAUAAAAUUGUUGUGAAUCUGUCUAUGAAUCUGAUCACGCACAAUUUUCUUGUUUAAUAAAUAAGAUUAAGUAAUUUUGAUUUUAUUGAUGAGGAUCUAUGAAUAAUGAGUGUGGCCAAGAAGUAAAGGUCUAGCCAUUAAUUUAGCUUACAAGUUCUCUGAUGAUACCAAACCUGUCAAAUAAGGAGAAGCUCGCUUACCAUAGAUGGGUUUUUAUUCUCGACUUUAUUUGCCUUUACCAACACAUGAGUAUUAAAAAUUUUUUGGGCCAGCGUACUCCACUCGAAGCUUAUCUUACCUUAGCCCUUCUUCCAUUUGUAGUACAACUCUUUACUCCUAUAUUUUUUUUCUCUCCUUUAUCUCUCUUCUUCUCAAACUUAAAUUAUUUUUCAAUUAAACACAAUAUCCGAGCUAAAUUCUUAUGCUUUAUCUUAGCUUGAACUCAAUCUCCUUUUAAACUUUGUAAGAACUAAGAAAGAACAUACAACUUGCUGCACUUUUAUUAAACAUAUGUUAAUUCACUCCCCACCUUUGACAAUAGAUUUCAUCUGUUCUUUAUUGUGUGUUUAACUUAUUAUCUUCUAGUUGGCUCUAUGUUAAUUGUUUUUCUCCAUUUAUCUCUUGGUAUGAAGUCACAUUUCUAAAAAUAUGAGAACACAUCAUUGACAAUAAGAAUAAAACUAUGAUCAAUUUUAGUGAGUUUAUGGUAUGACCUUAUUAUUACAAAGUUCUAGUUUUGCCACUGCAUUAUAUAAUUCAACAUCUGAAAAUUAAAUCAUGAAUUAGAUUAGCAAGGGGUAUAUUGAUCUCAUGUCCAUUCAUUUAUCUUCCCUAGAUUCCCAGUUCAGGACUUCACCAAUACAAGUGUAGUGAAGAAGUUAGUGAACAACAUGAAAGCGUUGAUGAAGGGCAUCGGAUGUUAAUUUUCCCUAGCGUAAAAGCUAAAAACAGACCACAGGGACUAUAUAUAUGCAGAUAAAUUUUGAGGAGCUCCUUGCUGUUAAAGGUAGUGUUGCAAAGCCAAUAUGACAAUGAAUUAUUUGGUGCGUCGGAUUGGUUAUAUGGACCCUGUAUAUUGCUGUAAACAAAACGAAAUUUGAUUUUUCUGUGGCCUUCAAUACACCGAGCUAGUAACAAUGAAAUCAUCAACUCUACGCCUCAGAACCCCACUGGUGGAACCGUGAAGGGUAAGAGGAGAAGGUGAGUUAAUUAACCAUGUACAAGAGUUAAAGCUUAAAGGAAAACAGUAAGACUGUAAGUAAGAUUCUUAACUCAGAAAAUGCAGUAAAACGACAUAUAAGAAAAGAAAUUAGGAAAUACAGUUCCAGUACUGUAUCAGAUAUGGAAUGAGUUUCCACUUGAAGAUCUCCACCAACAAAAGUGUGAGAGUUACCUGCAAAGAGACACAUGCAUGGUGGCUUUCUCACAGCAUGGACCAGCUGACAUGAUAAUUAUAGGAUCAUGAAAUCUGGAUAAUAGGGAACUCAACUAGAUUUCUAGCAAGCAAAGGCAUCUGGCUGGCAAUCUACAGAAAUUUGAUAGCAUAUAUUCUUUAUAAAAUUCGGUGGAACUGCAACUAUUUCAUCUUGUUGUGUUUAAAAAGUCUUUCUUAAAACACAAGGUCUUGGUUACUUCUUUAUAUAUACUUCAUUAUUGCAUCAGAUGAGCUAUAACUGAUUGGAAUGCCAAAUAUGUUAAACGCUUUCCCUCCAAGCCCUCCUUCAGUAACCUGAUUACUUUUUUGGGAAUAUUAUUAAUUAAAGACCUCCUAUAAGAUUACAGCAUCCCUUCUCUCUGCGUCAGUUGCAUCUAAUAACCAAACCUCUUACAAAGAAGAGAAAUUGAUUAAAAUAAUCAUAAAUUAAAUUUAAAUUGUUGAAAUAAUCAAAAUUAAUUUGACAACAUAUUAGUUAAAUGUUGACGCUUAGCGAUCAAUGAUUAGCAACAGAAUAAAUAGAUAUCAACUACCAACUGAAAAACUGAUUAUUUUAACAAUUGAAAUUUACAAAAUAAUCAUCUUCAUUCAUAAAAUAAUCAUCUUCAUUCAUUUCCCUUAAAAAAAAAUCAAUUUGGCUAAUACAAAUUUCUUCAGCUUUUGGGCCACAGUUCCGUACUAUAACCAAAAUAAUUCAAAAUAAUCGUGUUAAAAGUAGGAAUGUAAAAAUUGUAAUUGAUUGUAUUGAGGAUCCUUUCUUUAAUAGAUUUUCUAGAUUAAUUAUGAUUAGAGUUGUACAACUAUAUAUAUUUCCUCCGAGUGAGAAAAAUGAUAUUGGCUUAUUCACGAAUUCUAAGUUGGCAUCACAAGCCUAGGUUAGAAAAUAAAAAAAUAAAAUAAAAA
Molecule: long non-coding RNA, 2661 nt
Filed under: Malus domestica (apple)
Lineage: Eukaryota; Viridiplantae; Streptophyta; Magnoliopsida; Rosales; Rosaceae
Description: long non-coding RNA (MDOM_LNC000911)
Source: RNAcentral